RNAcentral lists this ribosomal RNA (1016 nucleotides) under uncultured bacterium. Its description in RNAcentral is "bacterial SSU rRNA". It matches the Rfam family "Bacterial small subunit ribosomal RNA", at positions 357 to 1376 of the family's 1533-position model. The record is from RNAcentral.
AGGAAUAUUGGUCAAUGGGCGCAGGCCUGAACCAGCCAAGUAGCGUGAAGGAUGAAGGUCCUAUGGGUUGUAAACUUCUUUUAUAAAGGAAUAAAGUCGGGUAUGUAUACCCGUUUGCAUGUACUUUAUGAAUAAGGAUCGGCUAACUCCGUGCCAGCAGCCGCGGUAAUACGGAGGAUCCGAGCGUUAUCCGGAUUUAUUGGGUUUAAAGGGAGCGUAGAUGGAUGUUUAAGUCAGUUGUGAAAGUUUGCGGCUCAACCGUAAAAUUGCAGUUGAUACUGGAUAUCUUGAGUGCAGUUGAGGCAGGCGGAAUUCGUGGUGUAGCGGUGAAAUGCUUAGAUAUCACGAAGAACUCCGAUUGCGAAGGCAGCCUGCUAAGCUGCAACUGACAUUGAGGCUCGAAAGUGUGGGUAUCAAACAGGAUUAGAUACCCUGGUAGUCCACACAGUAAACGAUGAAUACUCGCUGUUUGCGAUAUACAGUAAGCGGCCAAGCGAAAGCGUUAAGUAUUCCACCUGGGGAGUACGCCGGCAACGGUGAAACUCAAAGGAAUUGACGGGGGCCCGCACAAGCGGAGGAACAUGUGGUUUAAUUCGAUGAUACGCGAGGAACCUUACCCGGGCUUGAAUUGCAGACGAAUUGCUUGGAAACAGGCAAGCCGCAAGGCGUCUGUGAAGGUGCUGCAUGGUUGUCGUCAGCUCGUGCCGUGAGGUGUCGGCUUAAGUGCCAUAACGAGCGCAACCCUCGUGUCCAGUUACUAGCAGGUUAUGCUGAGGACUCUGGACAGACUGCCAUCGUAAGAUGUGAGGAAGGUGGGGAUGACGUCAAAUCAGCACGGCCCUUACGUCCGGGGCUACACACGUGUUACAAUGGGGGGUACAGCAGGCAGCUACCGGGCGACCGGAUGCCAAUCCCGAAAGCCUCUCUCAGUUCGGACUGGAGUCUGCAACCCGACUCCACGAAGCUGGAUUCGCUAGUAAUCGCGCAUCAGCCACGGCGCGGUGAAUACGUUCCCG